RNAcentral lists this unclassified non-coding RNA (400 nucleotides) under uncultured fungus. RNAcentral's name for it is "sequence contains ITS1". The stretch from base 1 to 106 matches the Rfam family "5.8S ribosomal RNA", at positions 50 to 154 of the family's 154-position model. The record is from RNAcentral. Lineage: Eukaryota; Fungi.
AAAAUGCGAUACGUAAUGCGAAUUGCAGAAUUCAGUGAAUCAUCAAAUCUUUGAACGCAAGUUGCGCUUUCGAGAUAGGCUCGAGAGCAUGCCUCCUUGAGUAUCGGUAACACCCCUCACCCUUUUUUUGGGUGGAGCAUGAGUGGCUUCCGACUUUUUUCUUUUCUCUCUCUAAAACAGAAAGAAAAAGAAAGAGUCGGUCACUUGAAAUGCAAAUAUACAGCCAGAGCCCAGAGAGAUCUCUUCUCUCUAAGCCGUGUGUAUCUUCUAAAGCCACGUUAGUUAAAAACUGCCAACGUACUUUAGGUCACAUGAGACGACACGGCGCGCGAAUACUUGGCACGGUUCCAAUUAAAAUGGAACCAAACACAAACUGUCUACAAUGAUCUCAAGUGAGGUA